RNAcentral lists this ribosomal RNA (468 nucleotides) under uncultured bacterium. Its description in RNAcentral is "partial 16S ribosomal RNA". It matches the Rfam family "Bacterial small subunit ribosomal RNA", at positions 28 to 523 of the family's 1533-position model. The record is from RNAcentral.
GAUGAACGCUGGCGGCGUGCCUAACACAUGCAAGCCGAGCGACUCUCUUCGGAGAAGAGCGGCGGACGGGUGAGUAACGCGUGGGUAACCUGCCCUGUACACACGGAUAACAUACCGAAAGGUAUGCUAAUACGAGAUAAUAUGCUUUUAUCGCAUGGUAGAAGUAUCACAACUCCGGCGGUACGGGAAGGACCCGCGUCGAAUUAGCUAGUUGGUAAGGUAACGGCUUACCAAGGCGACGAUCAGUAGCCGACCUGGGAGGAUGACCGGCCACAUUGGGACGGAGACACGGUCCAAACUCCUACGGGAGGCAGCAGUGGGGAAUAUUGCACAAUGGGCGAAAGCCUGAUGCAGCAACGCCGCGUGAGCGAUGAAGGCCUUCGGGUCGUAAAGCCCUGUCGUCAAGGAAGAUAAUGACGGUACUUGGGGAGGAAGCCCCGGCUAACUACGUACCAGCCGCCGCCGUAA